Hirundo rustica (Barn swallow) is the source of this 725-nucleotide long non-coding RNA. RefSeq lists it as uncharacterized. The record is from RefSeq and is a predicted model, not a curated record. The transcript is spliced from 3 exons. Lineage: Eukaryota; Metazoa; Chordata; Aves; Passeriformes; Hirundinidae.
UCUGGCUGGUAAAAGCAAAUUCAAACCAUUCAAUAGCACCAGUAAGGAAUUUCUGGAAUACCCAUAAACAGAGAAGUGACACACUUCUAGCCUAUGGGGAAUAAAACAGGAAGGAGAAAAUAAUGAAGAAAAAAAAAGAAGAAGCAAAAAAAGAAGAAGCUGCUGCUUACUGCCCAAUGCAAGCUAAAAUUCUUGUCAAGAGAGACAAAUUGCUUAAUACCCAUACAGUGCUUUGAAGAUCUAAAGUACAGAAGACCUUGAAGGCCUCUGGGGGUGAUUGCAUGAUUUCAUCCAUGCUGCAAAUCUCUGGAGGUGAAACCAAGCUACAUCACAUGAAUAUAUGGCCCUUAAUGCCACAAGUUUAAAAACAGCAAAUCAAGUGAAGACAGCAACAAAGAAAAGGCAGAAUACAUAACAGUUAAUUUGACUGAGUCCUCCACCAACAAGGCAAUAUUGGAACAACUUCCUGCUCUGCCACUGAGCUGCAGAGUCCUUCCUGCUGUCUGUACUGCAGUGAGGGCACCUAUUCUGUGAUUGUGAGGAACAGCGAUUGUCCCAAAAGGAUUUUGAGCAUACUUGAGUUAUAUUAUUCUUGCAAUGCUCAGUUCACAUUUACAAAAACAACUGAUUGUUUAAAAUCAAUGUCAUUCAUCCCACUCUACAACGCAAUAUAAAAGCAGAGGUAAAAUGGGAUCCAUAUGUAUUUUGGGAAAAUAAUGAACGGA